This 415-nucleotide ribosomal RNA is filed under the name uncultured Funneliformis. RNAcentral describes it as "partial 28S ribosomal RNA". The record is from RNAcentral. Lineage: Eukaryota; Fungi; Glomeromycota; Glomeromycetes; Glomerales; Glomeraceae.
GAGAGUUAAACAGUACGUGAAAUUGUUGAAAGGGAAACGAUUGAAGUCAGUCAUACCAACGGGAAAUCAACCUUUCGAGUUUAUUCUUGUGGGUUUCGAGGAGUUUAAAAGCCUUCGGAUUUGCGAGGAUUGGGCUCCAUUGGUGUACUUUCUCGUACGGUUAGUCAACAUCGGUUUUGAAUGUCAUAAAAUGACUGGAGGAAUGUGGCUUCGAUCUCGUAUCGAAGUGUUAUAACCUUUGGUAGAUGUGAUGUUUGAGACCGAGGAUUGCAACGGAUACCCUUCUGGGCUAUUCGUCUGAUCUCUGAUACGUUGCCUUGAUGUCGAAAGCUCGCUUAUGAUGUUAGGGUAUUACGGUCAAAAGGUUAGAACGGAUUAAAUUCGUUAAGGAUGUUGACGUAAUGACUUUAAACGA